UGCCAGCCGCCGCGGUAAUACGGAGGGGGCUAGUGUUGUUCGGAAUUACUGGGCGUAAAGCGCGCGUAGGCGGAGUGUUAAGUCAGGGGUGAAAUCCCGGGGCUCAACCCCGGAACGGCCUCUGAUACUGGUAGUCUUGAGUUCGAGAGAGGUGAGUGGAAUUCCGAGUGUAGAGGUGAAAUUCGUAGAUAUUCGGAGGAACACCAGUGGCGAAGGCGGCUCACUGGCUCGAUACUGGCGCUGAGGUGCGAAAGGGUGGGGAGCAAACAGGAUUAGAUA
This 279-nucleotide ribosomal RNA is filed under the name uncultured bacterium. RNAcentral's name for it is "partial 16S ribosomal RNA". It matches the Rfam family "Bacterial small subunit ribosomal RNA", at positions 506 to 784 of the family's 1533-position model. The record is from RNAcentral.